Molecule: ribosomal RNA, 2902 nt
Filed under: Escherichia coli UMEA 3314-1
Lineage: Bacteria; Pseudomonadati; Pseudomonadota; Gammaproteobacteria; Enterobacterales; Enterobacteriaceae
Description: bacterial LSU rRNA
Rfam family: Bacterial large subunit ribosomal RNA
Source: RNAcentral
UUAAGCGACUAAGCGUACACGGUGGAUGCCCUGGCAGUCAGAGGCGAUGAAGGACGUGCUAAUCUGCGAUAAGCGUCGGUAAGGUGAUAUGAACCGUUAUAACCGGCGAUUUCCGAAUGGGGAAACCCAGUGUGAUUCGACACACUAUCAUUAACUGAAUCCAUAGGUUAAUGAGGCGAACCGGGGGAACUGAAACAUCUAAGUACCCCGAGGAAAAGAAAUCAACCGAGAUUCCCCCAGUAGCGGCGAGCGAACGGGGAGCAGCCCAGAGCCUGAAUCAGUGUGUGUGUUAGUGGAAGCGUCUGGAAAGGCGCGCGAUACAGGGUGACAGCCCCGUACACAAAAAUGCACAUGCUGUGAGCUCGAUGAGUAGGGCGGGACACGUGGUAUCCUGUCUGAAUAUGGGGGGACCAUCCUCCAAGGCUAAAUACUCCUGACUGACCGAUAGUGAACCAGUACCGUGAGGGAAAGGCGAAAAGAACCCCGGCGAGGGGAGUGAAAAAGAACCUGAAACCGUGUACGUACAAGCAGUGGGAGCACGCUUAGGCGUGUGACUGCGUACCUUUUGUAUAAUGGGUCAGCGACUUAUAUUCUGUAGCAAGGUUAACCGAAUAGGGGAGCCGAAGGGAAACCGAGUCUUAACUGGGCGUUAAGUUGCAGGGUAUAGACCCGAAACCCGGUGAUCUAGCCAUGGGCAGGUUGAAGGUUGGGUAACACUAACUGGAGGACCGAACCGACUAAUGUUGAAAAAUUAGCGGAUGACUUGUGGCUGGGGGUGAAAGGCCAAUCAAACCGGGAGAUAGCUGGUUCUCCCCGAAAGCUAUUUAGGUAGCGCCUCGUGAAUUCAUCUCCGGGGGUAGAGCACUGUUUCGGCAAGGGGGUCAUCCCGACUUACCAACCCGAUGCAAACUGCGAAUACCGGAGAAUGUUAUCACGGGAGACACACGGCGGGUGCUAACGUCCGUCGUGAAGAGGGAAACAACCCAGACCGCCAGCUAAGGUCCCAAAGUCAUGGUUAAGUGGGAAACGAUGUGGGAAGGCCCAGACAGCCAGGAUGUUGGCUUAGAAGCAGCCAUCAUUUAAAGAAAGCGUAAUAGCUCACUGGUCGAGUCGGCCUGCGCGGAAGAUGUAACGGGGCUAAACCAUGCACCGAAGCUGCGGCAGCGACGCUUAUGCGUUGUUGGGUAGGGGAGCGUUCUGUAAGCCUGUGAAGGUGUGCUGUGAGGCAUGCUGGAGGUAUCAGAAGUGCGAAUGCUGACAUAAGUAACGAUAAAGCGGGUGAAAAGCCCGCUCGCCGGAAGACCAAGGGUUCCUGUCCAACGUUAAUCGGGGCAGGGUGAGUCGACCCCUAAGGCGAGGCCGAAAGGCGUAGUCGAUGGGAAACAGGUUAAUAUUCCUGUACUUGGUGUUACUGCGAAGGGGGGACGGAGAAGGCUAUGUUGGCCGGGCGACGGUUGUCCCGGUUUAAGCGUGUAGGCUGGUUUUCCAGGCAAAUCCGGAAAAUCAAGGCUGAGGCGUGAUGACGAGGCACUACGGUGCUGAAGUAACAAAUGCCCUGCUUCCAGGAAAAGCCUCUAAGCAUCAGGUAACAUCAAAUCGUACCCCAAACCGACACAGGUGGUCAGGUAGAGAAUACCAAGGCGCUUGAGAGAACUCGGGUGAAGGAACUAGGCAAAAUGGUGCCGUAACUUCGGGAGAAGGCACGCUGAUAUGUAGGUGAAGUCCCUUGCGGAUGGAGCUGAAAUCAGUCGAAGAUACCAGCUGGCUGCAACUGUUUAUUAAAAACACAGCACUGUGCAAACACGAAAGUGGACGUAUACGGUGUGACGCCUGCCCGGUGCCGGAAGGUUAAUUGAUGGGGUUAGCGCAAGCGAAGCUCUUGAUCGAAGCCCCGGUAAACGGCGGCCGUAACUAUAACGGUCCUAAGGUAGCGAAAUUCCUUGUCGGGUAAGUUCCGACCUGCACGAAUGGCGUAAUGAUGGCCAGGCUGUCUCCACCCGAGACUCAGUGAAAUUGAACUCGCUGUGAAGAUGCAGUGUACCCGCGGCAAGACGGAAAGACCCCGUGAACCUUUACUAUAGCUUGACACUGAACAUUGAGCCUUGAUGUGUAGGAUAGGUGGGAGGCUUGGAAGUGUGGACGCCAGUCUGCAUGGAGCCGACCUUGAAAUACCACCCUUUAAUGUUUGAUGUUCUAACGUGGACCCGUAAUCCGGGUUGCGGACAGUGUCUGGUGGGUAGUUUGACUGGGGCGGUCUCCUCCUAAAGAGUAACGGAGGAGCACGAAGGUUGGCUAAUCCUGGUCGGACAUCAGGAGGUUAGUGCAAUGGCAUAAGCCAGCUUGACUGCGAGCGUGACGGCGCGAGCAGGUGCGAAAGCAGGUCAUAGUGAUCCGGUGGUUCUGAAUGGAAGGGCCAUCGCUCAACGGAUAAAAGGUACUCCGGGGAUAACAGGCUGAUACCGCCCAAGAGUUCAUAUCGACGGCGGUGUUUGGCACCUCGAUGUCGGCUCAUCACAUCCUGGGGCUGAAGUAGGUCCCAAGGGUAUGGCUGUUCGCCAUUUAAAGUGGUACGCGAGCUGGGUUUAGAACGUCGUGAGACAGUUCGGUCCCUAUCUGCCGUGGGCGCUGGAGAACUGAGGGGGGCUGCUCCUAGUACGAGAGGACCGGAGUGGACGCAUCACUGGUGUUCGGGUUGUCAUGCCAAUGGCACUGCCCGGUAGCUAAAUGCGGAAGAGAUAAGUGCUGAAAGCAUCUAAGCACGAAACUUGCCCCGAGAUGAGUUCUCCCUGACCCUUUAAGGGUCCUGAAGGAACGUUGAAGACGACGACGUUGAUAGGCCGGGUGUGUAAGCGCAGCGAUGCGUUGAGCUAACCGGUACUAAUGAACCGUGAGGCUUAACCUU